CAAAGUAGAAUAAUUUAGUUCGUUCCGUUUACACUGGAAAAGUUAAGAGGUCUUGCUUUGC
RNAcentral lists this transfer RNA (61 nucleotides) under Modiolus metcalfei. RNAcentral's name for it is "tRNA-Val". The record is from RNAcentral. RNAcentral also lists the same sequence under 2 other names. Lineage: Eukaryota; Metazoa; Mollusca; Bivalvia; Mytilida; Modiolidae.